AUGCUCUACAUAAUAUACAGUAGUAAUAACAAAGAGAAUACGUAUGUAAUGCGUAUCUCUCUAUAUCUAUAUAUAUGUAUAUAUGCUAUGUGUGUAUCAACCUCGCAUAUUUUCUCCCUGUUGACCACGGCUCCCACAACGUGUCGCGAUGGAUGACUUGGCUUCCUAUUUCGUUGAAAAACGCAGCAAAGUGCGAUAAGUGGUAUCAAUUGCAGAAUCAUUUCAUUGCCCAAUCUUUGAACGCAAACGGCGCAUGGGAGAAGCUCUCUCGAGCCAUCCCCGUGCAUGCCACAUUUCUCAGUGUCGAAUAUAAAAACAAAACACACACCUAUUUUUUGUGUUGUUCAACGCACGCACAAAAUCCCGCCACCUCUUCUCCUCGUGUGGUGCAUAUUCAUGUUUGUGA
This 406-nucleotide ribosomal RNA is filed under the name Trypanosoma equiperdum. Its description in RNAcentral is "5.8S ribosomal RNA". The stretch from base 138 to 306 matches the Rfam family "5.8S ribosomal RNA". The record is from RNAcentral. Lineage: Eukaryota; Euglenozoa; Kinetoplastea; Trypanosomatida; Trypanosomatidae.